UCGAACGUGGGCGUCGGCUAGGGGGUAAUAGCGAGGUCCCUAGGGUUGGUCGGGUUCACUGGGCGUAAAGGGUGCGGAGGUGGUUGGGUAAGGCUGAGGUGAAAGCGCCGAGCUCAACUCGGAAAUGGGAUUGGAAACUACCCUGAGGGGGGGUCGGAGGGGGGACUGGAAUUCUCGGUGUAGCAGUGAAAUGCGUAGAUAUCGAGAGGAACACCAGUGGCGAAGGCGAGUCCCUGGACGACUCCUGACACUGAGGCACGAAAGCUAGGGGAGCAAACAGGAUUAGAUACCCUUGUAGUC
Molecule: ribosomal RNA, 300 nt
Filed under: uncultured Prevotella sp.
Lineage: Bacteria; Pseudomonadati; Bacteroidota; Bacteroidia; Bacteroidales; Prevotellaceae
Description: bacterial SSU rRNA
Rfam family: Bacterial small subunit ribosomal RNA
Source: RNAcentral